GACGGAUCUCCAUUUCGUAGCGGACACUGAGACGAUAGAGCAGCUCACUGGAAAAGCUCCCCGCUGUUGGACUAACUGUUCCCCCUACUUUUUCUUUUUCUUUACCUGGUUGGAAUAGUUUCUUUUUCCUAAUUGUGAGUAUGAAUGUAGCAAUGGCGGAGGGCUGUUUUCUGUCCGCCCUGCAGCCCAACUCCUCCUGCACCGCCUAUGUGCUUCCCUCGGACAACCCGUCACCGGACCCGAUGGCCAGAGCCAAGAGGGUGCGGGAUCAGGUCCGGAUGCGACUGGCUGAGAGGAAGUCCUCGUCCUUGACCAGACUGGAUGACUCGAGGUUCGGAUCAACAGAUUAUAGCCUUCCUGAGGCAAAGUGCUAUACCCACACUCACGGUUUCAGUUCCAGAUCUAUGAUCUCAGCACCAAGUCGUGUCAUGGCUGUGCCCACAGCACCCCUUCCCUCUUCGGUGUUCUCCUCUCGUUCUGCUGUGGAAACCAGUUCCAAGGCGAGCCAUAAAUCCACCAGCAUGGCCCAAAGUAAUUUCCAGACCUUCCAGGCACACAGCAGAAGCAGACGAUCAAAGUCAGUGGGCCAGGGAGAGCAAGAAGCAUGUCCUCUCACUGUGUUGGUUCAUCCAGAGAAUGCCUCAGUUCAGUUUGCUGUGCCACCACAUGGCACCCUAAGGCGCAGUCUCAGUGGAAUACUGGCCCAGGAAAGGGGCUACUGGCCAGAGGAGGAUCUUUCCUACCAGUAUACCUACAAAGGCCCCUCUCACCGCACCAUCAACCGCAUCGCCAACAGACAGCAACACUACCAACAGCAGAGCACUGGGUUUGGACAUGAGGGUUGGGUGGAGAAUGGCAGAGGGAUCCAUGCCGUAGCAGACAACUGGGGGACACAGGGGCAUCAGCGUAUGUCCAGGGCCAGUCAUAGCAUGGGGACCAGUCAGUAUGCUCAUCUCCACCGGGCUGCCUCACUUCGCAGUUUGAGGAGUGUCGGGAAAGGAGUGGAUGUCUUGGAUGGGGCAUCAAUACACAGCAAUGACGCGCUGAGAGAUAUGCAGGGACUGGACAUGACUACAGCUGUCAGAUAUCUGUCUGAGUCCGAUGCUGCCUCACAAGUACUGGGAGCUGCAUACAUACAGCACCAAUGUUACCAUAGCAACGAUGCCAAAAACCAGGUCCGUGCCCUGCGUGGUAUUCCACCUCUCGUGCAUCUCUUCUCCAGUGAAAACCUAGAAGUGCAGCGUUAUGCUACUGGCGCCAUGCGAAACCUCAUAUAUGAGAACGUUGAAAACAAGGCCGCCCUCCUAGAUGCCGGUGGAUUGAUGCCUCUUGUCAACAUCCUCAGCGAACCAGACGAAGAGCUGCGAAAGACCAUUACUGGAGUCUUAUGGAAUCUGUCCUCCAGAGACAAUUUGAAGGAGAAGCUUUCCGUUGAUGCUCUACCAGUGCUCACAGAGAAAGUCCUGAUUCCCUUGUGCAAGAGCAUCCCGCUUAACUCAUCUGAGAAGGAGAUCUUUUACAACACAACCGGCUGCCUCAGGAACCUGAGCUCCGUGAAUGAGAGAACAAGACGGAAGAUGAGGGAUAUGCGAGGCUUGGUGGAGUCUUUGGUGUGCUACAUUCAGCAAGAAGAACAGGCAGAUGACAAGGGUUUGGAGAAUUCAUUGUGUGUAAUGAGGAAUCUGUCAUAUCAACUGUACUCGGAGCUACCGCCCUCAGUCCGACUCCAUCUGGAGGGCCCAACAAGAGCUUCCGCCUCCAGAAACAGUGAAACCAUCGGCUGCUUUACCGUCUAUACCAAAAAAAGCAGGGAGCAGUACCACCACCAUCUUUCCACACUCUCUCAACCAAAGGGGGCUGAGUGGCUUUGGCACCCUAAGGUGGUGGUCCUCUACAAGCUCAUUCUCCAGAACAGGGACAACAGUUCCACCAGCCGUGAAGCUGCCCUAGGAGCCCUGCAAAAUAUUACUGCAGGAGAGGCCAGGUGGGCAUCAGUGCUGAGUUGUGUGGUGAUUGAGCAGGAGAGGAUGUUACCCAUUUUGCUAGAUAUGUUGGAUACCAACAGUGAAAUGGAAAUGAAGCCUCUGACCGGGCUGCUGAGGAAUCUGGCUAGACACGCUACAGACAAAGAACACAUGGCUAGGAACAUGGUGAAUGUUCUUGUGUCCAAGCUGCCCAGUGAUGGCCUUCAGAAGACACCCUCCAGUGAGGUGGUGGUCAACAUCUGUGGAGCACUCAACAACCUGGUCACCUGCAGCUCCAUGGCAGCCCGUGACAUCGCUCACUACAACGGCCUUCCAAAACUGAUAGGCAUCAAGACGUCCCAUGACAACAGAGAGCUCUCAGUGACCUGUGUUUCCUGUUUGUGACUUUACAUAUCUCAUACCACCCCGACCUCCCCUCUGCCACGGAAAUAUAACCUUUCCCUAAUGUUACAGCUCUGGGAGUCUAAAAGCCGCCAGAGCAGCCUCAACCGUCCUCUGCAACAUGUUCCAGUACGGCAAGCUGCACAGAGACUACAAACUGAAAGGAUUUGUCAAACAAGACUUCACAGAUGUCUCCAUCUAGGCUGCAGCAUUUCAUCUGAGCUUAUGACCCCUGGAUCAAGUUUGCAGUGAAGGAAAGAAGAUGGAAUUCAAGCAAUUGAACUAUAGCAUAAGGAUUUAUAGACCUUGUUAGACAUGUAUUUUGGAUUAAAUAUUGAUAGGGACACAGUUCUUUGUAAUCUGUCCACUACUAACCAACAACUUUUCAUCCAUGCACACAACAGUGUGGUAGGAUAACAAUUUAAAAAAACGAAAAAUCAUAGUAAUGCGUGCAAAACAUCAAUUGGGUCAGUAUGUGGCGAAAACAAGCGGAGAUAAUUUCACACCAAUAGACAGCUGCCCCUCAGGAUUACAUUGUGACUGUUGCACAGCUUUUGGAUGUACUUGUUCAGUAGUGGACACAUUGCAGACUUAUAUCUCUAUAAAUUAUUUACACUUAAAUACACAGGGUGAUUCAAAAAGUUAUCCUUUAAUGAGGAGAUGAUGUAACAGUUUAACUUGGCUUGGGUUGCUGAAGAUAGACUUGCGAUGACGGGAAGCACCGUAUGUCCUGGAUGCGUAUUACAGGUUGACCCGCGUGUGUUGUUCUUUGUUGAAUUUCUGUUUUUUUGUUGUUGUUGUUUUGUUUUUGUUUUUUUGACAGUGACAGUUUCAAUACAUUUUAGAUUGUUGUUGCUAACAUAUAGAUGAGCUGGAUAGAUAGAUACACUACCAGUCAAAAAUAUGGACACAGAUAUGAGAUAGAUAGAUAGAUAGAUAGAUAGAUAGAUAGAUAGAUAGAUAGAUAGAUAGAUAGAUAGAUAGAUAGAUAGAUAGAUAGAUAGAUAGAUAGAUAGAUAGAUAGAUAGAUAGAUAGAUAGAUAGAAAGAAACAGUCAUAAUCAUAGCUAGGCUGCCUCACAAUGUGCAUUGCCUAUACAAUAUAUUCUAGUUUUAUGGUGAACUGACUUUUAACAUUAGAAAUAUUAAAAGACUGAACAUGGUCACAAUAAAUGCUUUUUAACCGUACUAUUGUACAUAGUAAAGUGCCUUUGAACAGUGACUCUAAGGAUAAUUCUGGUUUACUUCAAUCUGACAGACUUUAUUUCCCUGACAUGACACACCAAAGGGUUUGUCAUACAAAAUCAUCUGAGAAGACCUCUUUGGAGGAACGCAGUUAGUUUCUAAAAUCUACUUUGAAGGUGAUUAGACUCAAUGAAGACCAACCAACUUUAUGACAGAGGAGGGGGAGGCAAAGAAGAAGACAGAAGCAAUAAGUACGUCAGCACAUCAGUAGGCAGUGCUCACCUGGAGCCUUACAAGAUAGACUACCUACCUCUUGUGAGAAUGAUGAGGACGCAUUAUUCUCACAAGGAUCUGUCAAUGUUGUACACUGUUUUUAUGCAACUUGCUUGUAUGGGACCUCCAUAACUGAGGUGGAGAGUGCAAGGUCAGUGGCCCACAGAGCCAUAAAGGCUACAUCAGUCAGAAACACACCAGGUUGAAAUAAACAGGAAUUACACAAAGUGCCUCUGAACAGCGGUUUACGCUAUAGCUUCUGAAUCAGCUCUUUGAAAUGAAACCUUCUGUCAGAAGUAGCAGCUGAUUGUAGCUACCGUAGUGUGUCUGUUUCUGAUCUUAUUAGCAUAGAAGUCUAGAUCACAUGUGACACACCAAAGUUUUGCUUAUUUCUUUUGCUUAGUCCAAUGUGUAUACAAAUGACCUGUUAGAGAGGUUUAUGAAGUCAAAUACUGAUGCUAUAAAAGUGGAAAAGAGUGUAUGUCAGAAACAAUGAAAAAUAAACUGAAAAGUUAACGUUA
Molecule: RNA transcript, 4344 nt
Organism: Mugil cephalus (flathead mullet)
Lineage: Eukaryota; Metazoa; Chordata; Actinopteri; Mugiliformes; Mugilidae
Gene name: plakophilin-3-like
Exons: 14
Source: RefSeq, a predicted model, not a curated record